GGGGGCGAGCGCGUUCUGCGAUGCGUCGCCCCCUGCUCGCUCGCGCGAGGAAUAGAACCGCCUAAGGCCUCGUUUGGUAACACCCGGAACGGCCCGGAACGUCCUCCGUUCCAGCCGGAUCGAAGUGGUCCAGUUUCAAACCAGGUCUGGACUGGAAGUAUCGUUCGUUUUGGGUCGCCCGGAUUGGAAACGGGCCCGGCUUUGGCCAAUCCACCUCCUCCACGGCCCGGAACCGAUCCCCACCUCCCACCCUCCGGAACGAAGCCUGGCGAUGCGAGCGAGAGGCCGGCGCAGCUGAGGAGACGACGCGGCUGACGGUGCGAGAGGCGACGGCGCGGCGGCGCGGCACAGCUUCGACGGCGCCAUCCUCUCCACUGCCUUCUCAUCUAUAUAGAUCCCUUCCGCACCGGUUCGAGUUGGAGAAGGUGAAGCUCCCCCUUCUUGGGAUCCGGUAUCAACUCCAAAAGUUGAGGAUUCCGGUGAUGGUGUAUCAGCGGCAGCAACAAACUUUCAGAGUUAAGCUUGCAUUGAUAAUGAUGAGUUGUUGCAAAAAAAAGGUCGCUGAAGAACCUGUGCUAUAUUUAUCACCAUUUGAUGUUGUACUUAAGAAUGUGCCAUUAUAUUGAUGUACUCUUAUAUGUCAAACAGAAACCUAUGCUACGCAAUACUCUGAUUUGUGCCUGUGUCGGGCAUGUCAUGGUUUUGUUCCUGCCGAACAGCAACAACUGUUUUUAAUCCUAGCCUGGAUUGUCAGGAUUAAAUCCUGGCCGGAUUGAGUGACACGGGUGGAAUCGCUCAAACUGGUCCUGGAAGCAAUCCUGCCCAGAUUCCAAACCGGCAGAAACUAACGAGCAGAAUCAAACUUGCUGCCCAUUUGUUUGUUCGGCAGCAAUGGAUACAAAGUGCUCUAACACUACAGCUAGGAUACAAGUUUGAUCAGUAUUCUCCAUCCAUAUAAUUUUCAGCAGACCCAAUCAUCAACCUGAGACUCAUAUGCUUAGAUGCUGUAAGUGCCACUAACAUGACGAUGAAAGCAGCACUAGCAUUUCUUCACCUCCAAGAUAAUUUGACUAACAGAUCAGAUCAUUAUAUCCAUGGUUGAAAAAUCAAUCACCCUGCCAACAACAGGCCUUUGCUCUUGAACCUGCAGGAUUUUUUAGUUAGAAGACAGUUUACUCUAGAAUGGCUUCAAGUUAAAGACCAUAGAACACUUACAGUGCACAACUGUUGCCCAGCGAUUUGGGCACUUGUUGCUUUAAAGAUAGGAACGGGGAUGGGUAAUUGGCAUCACCACAUUCAUUUUGUUUGCUCGAUGGAACCUUCUCAGCCAAAGAUAUGCCAAAUACUUCGCAACUAUUUGUGUUAACUUCCCUGUUAUCUGCUCCCUCCUUCCCAACAGAGUGAAUUUUUUCAACUGUACAUGUCUAUUUCUCCUUCAGAAACAUGUUGAGGCUGGAGCAUCAAAGUUUGCUCAGUUCCUCCAAUACCUCCAGCAUGGCCAAGCAUAGCAGGAUGUUAGCUAGCGAAUCAAGAUUUGAACACUGAUUAUAAAGCGCUGAAAAGGCGGAUCCAUUUUUAAGCUGAGCUGCACGGCGCACUAAGUCUUAGCUCGCCAUCAUCUCCCCUGAAAAUUAUUAGGAAUCUUCAGAAAAGAGCGCCACGAACAUGGAGCACACCGCCGGCGGCGAGCUCUUCGCGCGGCCCAGAGCACGCGGCUCCCCAAGCCCGUGGCGCGCCGGUACUUCUAGCAGCUGGUCACGGCCGUCAAGUUCUGCCACAGCCGCAUCAGUACCACCGCAACCUCAAGCCCGAGAACUUGCUUCUCGACGCGUGCGGCGACCUCAAGGUCUCCAACUUCGGGCGCCCAUCGUGCGCGGCCCCAACACGGCAACACCGCCGCCACCCGCCUCCCCCUCCCCGUCGCGAGCGCCUCCGCCGCCGCUUCCCCCGUCCCCAUCCCCAUCCUCCGUCGCUGUUCCCGUACCCGUCCCUGAGCGCCGCCGCUCCGUCCUUCCCAUCCGGGUCGCGCCACCACCUCCGCCGGCGCGUCGUACGCCUCCCACAGCUGCCGGACCUUCGCCGGGAGGUCAAGAUCCGCACCGAGCCGCCAUUCCCCGUCGCCUCCGCCACCCGUCCCACGUCGGUUUCUGCGCUGCCGCCAAGAAGGGUCUGGUGGAGAAAGCAUAUAUAGUGGGAAAUUUGCAGAUGAAGCUUGUGCCCUACGCCAUGAUGAUCGUGGUCUCUUGACAACGGCAGAUACUGGCUCCCAAUUCUGUAUUUCUUUCAAGCCUAAUUCUCAUCUUGACAGCUGUUACAGGAUAUCCUGACAUCCACCAUGGCUAACAACACUAGAACUGUCUCUAGCCUCGAUGAGGUCAAUGUUGUCUUGCAAGAGAUGGGCAUCAAUACGAUUGCCGGAGCCGAUCAAGUUGAAUUUCGUUUGCAUGAGCAAACAUCUCUUCAAAAUGCAAUGAACUUGAAGGCAAAGGUCCGACCUGGAAGGCGUGGCUUUAAAUUGCUUAAUCCUGAACUGUUGGAAUGCAAAUUUAAAGCCAUGCUCAAGGUACAGGAGAGUUUUGAAACAAUGUUGGAGACAUGCAUGGCUGAGUGUGAUCUUCAGAUGCUUCCACUUGAAGUCCAGAUUGCGCAUCUGAAUCAACUCUUGCUCUCCACCGAUGCGCAAAUCGCACAUGUUGGACCUCCACGUGAGGAAAGGAAUCGUGGGGUGCAGCAAAAUAUCUAUCCAAACCCACCGUUUCCUGAGGAUCCAAGCUUUGGGUUAGCUCAUGGAAAUCUAAGAGUACCUUAUCAGCCAGCAUUUGCUACAAAUGAAGAGAUGGAUGCAGCUAUUUAUCGUGAUAAGCGUGCUCAGAGGGCCUUCUGGAGGACCAAUCUUCGCCUUUUGGAGAUAAAAAAAUCCGUUCUGGAGAAGAAGAAGAUCGAACUGGAAAGAAGUCUGAGAGCGGAGUUUAGACAAGUGAUCCAAGAGCAAUCGGAUCUUGGGGUUGGCUAUGCGAAUUUCACCAUAUAGUGAACUGAUCACCAUCAAUCCAGAAUUUCUACACACUAAUUCCAGAGAAUGGUAAAUAUGCCUGACCAACGUGUCCUUAGGGUGGACAUGCUUCGGUGAAGGGCAGCCAUGGCGAAGGCAUUGGUGAACAGAGCAACAGUGCUGAAGUGGAGCCAUGCAGUAGUCUAUUUCUGAUUGGAAUGUAAUGAGCAGUUUGUAAGAUUAAGUGGUAUAUGGAGCUGAGAUCUCAUGAAUAUCUAUGCAUUUUAUAGAAUGCUCAGUUUGCAACUAUACCAUUCAUAUGAUGGUUGCACCUUAGCAUUUUUUAUGUCAAAUAUUUCUGAGUACUUCCAUUAAGUAACUUUAGUUGCUUGUGUCUUUCUUCCUGUUAAA
Panicum virgatum (switchgrass) is the source of this 3403-nucleotide RNA transcript. It is a transcript of the gene named vegetative cell wall protein gp1-like, with no coding region annotated. NCBI's taxonomy places the organism in Eukaryota, Viridiplantae, Streptophyta, Magnoliopsida, Poales, Poaceae. The record is from RefSeq and is a predicted model, not a curated record. The transcript has 9 exons.